UUUUUUUUUGAUAAGGUAAAUUGUAUUAAUCAAAAGGGAGAGAACUCCCGUAUACAGGAAAUAUAUCAAAAAGUAGAGAAUUUACAUCAGAACAUGAUUCUCUACAAAAGACGCCCAAUCUUCUAUACAAGCAGGGGCCAUAUGAGUGCACCAAAAAGCUAUCAAAGAUAAAAGACUAUUCUUAAGAUGUGAAAAAGGAGACUCAAUCCCCUACAAAUUCAUCACUAUAAUCUGUAGUCCCAGCAAAUUGUUUUGGAUUGCCAAUAAUCCUGUGAUAUAUAUUUCAGUUAAUUGGCAUUUUUUGUUUGAGAUUGGGCAACACUAAAAUGAGACAGCUCGAUACUUCUCUUCUACAACAGUAGGCAUACUUCAGUUUUCAUCAAAAUAUCAGAAAAGAACUACAUUCAUUUUGCUAAUCCCAAUAGAAGGAUUAAAAAAAAGAAACAGCAAUAGAUAACAUAAAGAAAGAAACCUACAAAUUACAUAUAUUGAACAAAAUGAACAAAUGAAAACAGAAAAAAUUUACCUUCACAGUGCCAAAUUUUUGGAAAACGCUCUUUAAGUCUUCACGCAUAACAACGUCCUUGUUGUCUUUGCAAGCAGCAAUUGAUAAUUUUUCUUCAGCAGGAGCUUGAUCAUCCUCUUCAGUUGGACUUUCCACGGAUUUCUCUAUAGCUUCAGGAUUCUGAACAUCAGUCUCCCCACUUCCAUUCUCUACAUCUUUUUCAUCACCCUUCUCAUUAUUGUCUUCAUCUUUAUCUUCGGGCACCUUCUCUUCUGUCACUUUAACAUUGUCUUUUGUUGUUUCUUUAUUGCCUUCUGUUUCGGGAGCACUUGCGCUUUCAGCUGCCGCUUGAUGAUUACCAUUUUGUUCUGUAGAGCUUUUUCUCUUCAACUUAAAUGCAAUGAUCAAGCCCUUAGGAUAGCUGCCACAAUCACAUCCAUCAUGUUAACACCACAUGGCAAGCACUAACAAAAUACCAAAUUAGUAAGGACUCACUACUUAGCGGUAGCAUCAUACUCACUCUGGUUCAGGCUUCGCAUUAUUUUUACUAUUUGGACCAAGAUGAGGACGGUUAUGCUCAACUUCUUUCUCUUCAUUGGCUCUUUCUACAUCGAAAUCUUUCCUGAAUAACAGCAAACCAGUGAUAUGUAUGAGCAACCAUUGAAAGUAAUUUGUGAAUGGAAUGUCUCGAACUUGUAUCAGUGAAAACUUAUAUUCGAAGCAGUGGCCAUCAAAAUGAACAGUAUCUUCCAUUGGAAUCAAGUCAUAAUUAUGAUGCAAGAUUGUGACAAAAUAAUAGAUUCUACUUAAUUACUCAAAUGAGCCUACUAGGUUACAUAGCCAAAGUUUGGACAAGUUUAACCUAAAGAGAAAAUUUGAACCCUAACACAGCAAAGCCUAGACAAAUAGAAUACAAGAUCCAUACUUUCCCAGGACAACUCAGGUUAAUAUACAUCAUAGAUAUCUUGGCCCUAGUGACAUAAUGACUCCCCCAUGCCCCCGCCCCAAAAAAAAAUAAAAAAUUGUAUGAGUUGGAUUUGUUUAAACAAAAUAUAUAGUAUGAGUUUGGUAACAUAUGUUGAAAAUAAUGGUUGGUAGGUGUUAACAAAGUAUAAAAAAUGUCAUCGCAAAUACAGAAAAUGUGCAGUAGUGUUAUGUAUUGAUAUAUUCGAAUUUUUGGAAUUGGACUUUUCCAUCUACCAAAAACGUGAUGUUUUUAGGCAGACUAAAAGGGAAAAAGAAGGUGAAACAAAAAGCAAUAGGUGAGGAAUAUAAAAGAGGUGCAGUCUUCCCUUCUACAUCCUGGGGUCCAAUAUUGCAAAAGGAAGUCCAGCCAAACAAGCAAAACUAUAGAUUAUACAAGAGCAGAAGACGUUCCUACGAAUGAGCAUCAGCUUCCUCUCCCGUUCUUUCUGUUGCCAAGUUGGAUUUUGGUUUAAAAUAUAGGGAAAACAAUGAAGGUAGAAGUCUACCAAUGUAUAAAAACUGUUUGUAGUGCUAGUUCAUAUAGACAAUAUGUCACUAGAAGUUGUUAACUCCAACUCCAAAAAUAACAUAGGAACCAAAGUGCCCCCCCCCCCCUCCCUGUUGUCACCGUUUUAUAGGAAGUAACACCAAAGGAAAUACUAUCUUACUUUGGUUUCAGUUCUAAUUCGACUCCUUCAUAAACCAAGUUUUGCUUCACAACAUUAGCCGCAUCUUCCUCACUGGCGAACUCAACCAGAGCAGUGCCACAAAACAUCCUUUUGUCAGCUACAUGACGAGGCAGUCUCACACUGUUAACCUAAAAGAAGAAGAAAGCAAAAAAAUCAUUGAACAGGCAGCAACAUUUUAUUAUCUCGGAUAUCUUUUUUUCAUGCAAUACUAUUUUGGAUACCGAUGCAAGCAAUGUGAUGUAAAAAAAAUUGCAGCAGUAAGGCAGAAAUAUGGAUAACAUCUAGAAAGACACAAAAUAAAUAAACUGUUCUUUGAAGAUCGGAACAAUUUCAACAGACGCUGAUCAUGCGAACCAGUGUAGAGAAGUUUUAUUUUCUUAAUCUACCUCAUCCCAGCCCAUCCCACUCUUUCCCCCUUUUACAAAAGAGUAACCUGUUUAACAAAUUUGGAUAAAGAUACCAAAUUUCAUCAUAGGUAAAACACCAACAAAGUAAGGCAAGUGCAAAGUUAGACACCUUGCCAUGCUGACCAAAGAAGGACUCCACAUCUUCAAGCUUGACACUGUAUUCCAAUGGGGAUGCAGCAAUUGUCCUGACAUCUAUUUGCUCUAUAACCUCCUCAGGCUUCGAAAGCUCUGUCACUCUACCAACACGUUUCCCUAUAACAUAAAUCGGCUCAAAUCAGCCCAUUUACUAUUAUGUCAUUCAGUAGAGAUCAAAGAGAGCAACACAAAUUAGCAAAACCAAACAAAGUCACCAACUACAAGGCUGCGCCACCUCAAGGCGAAAUUAUUAAGAAAAACAAAGACACUUACCAUCUUCCGAAAUCUUAAGAAAAGAAGAAGCCUUUAAAGCUUCAGCAACAGCUUGUAUAGUAUCAUCUGAUAUCUCUUCCUGCUUUGAAGCUCCCAAACCCAAAUGAUACCUCAUCCGUGAAAACGAACAUAUCAAAGCCAAACUUACCACUAUAAAGCUUUAGUUAAGUAUUACAAUACAUUUUGUCAACAAAAACAAUGCCUUGAUGUCAAUCUAGUUGGGUUUCUGAAUCCCUAAUAUAUAUUUGGGUUAAUUCCAUUCCAGUACCCAAUAUUCUGAGGUUGAAAAUUGACUAGUUUUGUUUGCCUGUCAACCUACUACAACACUCCUCCUUUAUCUGGUUUGCCACCUCGAAACUAUUCAAAAAAUAUACAAUUCCAUAUUUAGGUGAGUUUUAAAACAUACAAGCCCUUGUACAUAUACUUACUAUAUCUCAAAAGACUUGCAUAACUUCACAUCAUUAACAACAUUCUUCCAAAACCUUAACAAUUUUACUAAUGUUUUUAAUGAUAUUUAUUGUUAAAGAGUUAAUCUUUAGUACAGUAUCACAUAAAUCAAAGCUAAAGUUCCCAAUAGUGAGCCUUUAUUUAAGUACGAGUACAACACACACAAUUCCUUGUGCAUAUGCUACCUCUUUCCAAACAACUUAUUCACAAGAUCAACAACAUUUUUCCAAGACAUUAAAAAUUCUACUUAAAUUUUUUCAUGAUUUAUAUUGUUAAAGAUUGACUCUUUAGUACAAAUGACAAAUUAAAAAAUGGAAUAAACGAUCAGAUAAGAGUACAUAUAUGGGGUAAAAAAGGAUACACCCAUCUUCACUUUCAUCAACAGUUUUCUUAAGAAACCCAUCUUUUGGAAGAUUACUAUCACUGAAGUAAAACUCAACCUGCAAUGAAAAGGGUUGGGGGAGAAAAUCAGAUAGACGAAAAGGUGCAACUGUUUUAAGGAUAUCGAAAACCCAGAAAGGCUAACCUGUCGAAUGACCUUCUUGAUUGUUUCUUCGUUCAAAGUUUUGGCCAUUAGGUACAAGCGAAGACAGAAAGCAGCGUCUAGGGUUUGGGAAAUAAGGGGUUUAGUUAUCAAAUGAGUUGUUUUCAAGUUUGUAUAUAUAAUAAUAACUUGACCCGCAAAACCGGAUGUUUAUUAGGCCUAUAAUUGGUCGGGUCCGGAUCAUUCUAACAUUUUGAGCAUUAAAUUGCACCGGCGUCUAUUUGGUCGCCCUCAUUUAACCUACACUCAUUUUUAAAAAAGUUUAAACUUGUACUCAUUUUUUAAACAACUUCAGCCCCCUUUCUCCUCCUCCUUCUCCUCCUUCGUUUUCUUCUUCUUCUUUCUUCUACUGAUGUUGGUGUUGCUAUGAAACUUCAGUUCAUGGGAUGAUUGUCAUAAAUAUAUUUAUCAGAUUAUUUAAAGAUAAAUUAUAAAUAAUUACGUAAGUUAGUAGAUAAUAAUUUGUGAAUAUUUUCACGUACUAAGUUAGUAGAGAAUGAUAAUUCUGUUCUUUUCACGUUUAUUGUUUCCAAAAUUUACGAUUUGGAUACUAUUUGCAAUCUGAUUAUUUAUCUAGUAUGUUAGAAAGUUUUUUUCAAAAACUUUAGCUUAUAUAGUGCUGAAGUUUUUACAAAUGAACUAAAUAAUUUCAGCAUCUUCUGCUGAAGUUUUUGAAAAAACUUUAUGACAAAACUAAUGAAUCCAGGACAAAAAAGCUUCAGCUUUUAGUGCUGAAGUUUUUACAAAUGAACUAAAUAACUUCAGCAUAUUCUGCUGAAGUUUUUGAAAAAGGUUAUCCAGGACAAAAAAACUUCAACUUAUUUAUUGCUGAAGUUUUUAUAAAUGAACUAAAUAACUUCAGCAUCUUCUGCUGAAGUUUUUGAAAAAACUUAAUGACAAAACUAAUGAAUCGAGGACAAAAAAAACUUCAGCUUAUUUAGUGCAAUUACAAACAAAAACUUCAGCAAAUAGAGAACAAAACUUCAGCUACUAUGCUUAAGUUCAACAAUUACAAACAAAAAUUUCAGUAAAUAGAGAACAAAACUUCAGCUACUAUGCUUAACUUCAGCAAUUACAAACAAAAACUCUAGCACACUUGGUUCAUCACACUUGCUACUUUAGGCCCGUCUACUAGAAUGCUGAAGUUUUGCGUGAUUGUCUUUGCUACUUCAGCCCCGUAUGUUGAAGUUACGCGNNNNNNNNNNNNNNNNNNNNNNNNNUUAGGAAAUCUUACGGAAAUAUCACAAAUAAGUCCUAACUUAUCAAUCUUUAGUCAUUAAUUAUAAACUUACCAAAGUUACUCAAGUACAUACAAAAAUCGAAAGCCCAAAUAAAUAAUGAUUCUUUCUCUCCAAGAAUCACAAAUAAAAAUCUCCUUCCAUAUUUUUAAGCGUGAUCAACAACAUUAGAUACAAGACGGAAAGAAAAUUUCAUGGAUGAGGUAGCAAAUAAGGUGAUGAAAUACAAAAAAAAAAUACAAGAUUUCAAAAAUCUAAGCAGAAAGAGACCUUUUUCAAUUGGUAAGGUUGAAAUUCAUUAAAAAUAUAUAGAUGACUCAAUAUACAAAAUUUGAAGAAGAUUGGAGAUGAUUUGGACUGAUUUGGUAUUAAAACUUGUAGGUAAAUCGAGUUCAAAAAAUUCUUCUGUUAUCACGUAUGUAUCUCACACACAAGUACACAGGAAUAUACAUGUGAUACAUAUUUGAUACAAAUAUGAUACGUAUAUGAUACACAUAUUAUAUAUAGUGAGAUACACAUUAUUUUUUCCAUGUUCAUCUUCUACUUCAAUUUCCAAUUCAAACCACCUCAAAACUCCACCAAAUCAUUCCAAAACUGAUAUUUAAACUCCUUAAGAUGUAUUCAAUCUAUUCAAACAAUACUCACUCUAAAGAAAGUAAGAAUUUGACAUUUUUCUUUGCUACAAAUAGCUAAUUGGCAAAUAUUGAUAAUAUUUUAUGAAAUGACUAAUUUUUGUAUUAACUUACUUAUGGGCUGACAUAACUCGUACUUUCCCAGGAAAAAAAUAUUACUUAUUCUUUUUUGAAUAGUUCAUGUUCAGAAAAGUUAUGUGGCCUGAAUUAGGGAUGUACAUAGUUCGGGUUGGUUCGGAUUUUGCAAUUAGCAAAUCAAACUAAUUGUGUCGGGUUAUUAAAUCUAAAGAUCAAACCAAACCAAUAAAACUUGCGUUUUUCAAUCUCGGAUUUUCUCACGCUAUUCGGGUUAUUCGGGGUUUUUUCGGUAAAAUCUUCGUAGCACAAAACAUAUAACUUGUGCUCAAAAUAUUUCUUUAAUCCUAUUAAGAUAUAAUUAUAUAAGGUAUUUUUCAAGAAAAUAAUACAAAAUAUGAGAUGUGUCAUGGCAUUAUCCUAAAAUAUUCAACAAUAAAAAUAAUAAAAUUAUAUAAUAUAAAUAUUGAUAAUUAAAAAGCCAUAAUAAACAUAAUCUAAAAGUACUAAGUCAUGCUAAAAUAAAUAGACUAAUAAGGGAAUAUUAAGUUCAUGACUAAACGCCAAAGAAAAAUAAAAAUAGGUUAUGCAUUUUUAUCUAAAUUAUUGCAAAACAAAAAAUAGAUAUUCAAUACAUUGCCGUUCGUAGUAUUGAAUUGAAUGUCCUUUGUUAGUAUUAGUAUUGAUUUGAUUUUGGUUUGGGCUUUUGUUAGCAUUAUUUAAGUUACUAAUAUUAAUGGUUAUAAAACAUAUUGGAACAUUCAAAAGUUCUAAGUCCAACCUUGAAAUAUACCUUAAAAAAUAAAAUUAUGAAAAAGUUUAAGAGAUAUUUAUAAAUUACAUCACAAUAAGUAUAUUUAUAUAUUAAAUGUAUUUAAAAAAUUAUAUAUGUAAUGUCGGGUUGGUUUGGUUUCGGUUUGACUCUCUUUAGUUAAAACCAAACCAAUUAUGGUCGGGUUUUUUUCCAAAUCAAACCAAAUCAUAGUCGGGUUCUUUUUCUCGUUUUGACUCGGAUUAUCGGGUUAGUGCGAUUUAUCGAUUUCCUUUGUACACCCCUAGCCUGAAUGUAUGAAAGUGAAACAGUUUUUUUAUUCUCUGUUGCUAAACUAUAUUAGUUAUAAUAAAUUGUUAACAAUUUUUUGUACUUAAAGUAUUUAUACGUAACUGAAAAAUUUUGCAUCUAAAGUUCAAUAUGUUUGAGUAGUAGCAACAAGCAAGUUGUGUAGUUGACAAGAGAAUAAAUAAAUGCAGCGAAUGAAAGAUGGGGGGCGGGGGGCGGAUUGGAGCACUGUAGGUAGAAUAAUUCUAAGUCUAAAGAUAUAUUUUAAGAUUUUUGUCCCAAAAUUUAGUAUUCAAUUUUUAAUGCCACAAAAGAAAAACUAUGGAAUAUUAGAUGAGUUUUACCAUUAAAACGAGUUUCACCACAAAAAAUUCAAAAUAAGUAAGGUGAGUGUAAUAUCAGAAACCAGAAGUGAAAUUGAUGUUAUAAGGCUAAAUUUGAGGGGAGUUCUCUGAAAUUAUCCUUCUUUUUAAUUAUUAUUGCAUUGCGGCCGUCAAAAUUGAAUUCGCACCUACUAUUAUAAAUAACUUUUUUUUUUAAUUUUAAUUUUUCAUCUGGUGUUUGAUACCCGCUUGGAGUUCGACUAAUUUGAAUUCAUCUCGAAAAGUCUCUUUUGGAGAUAAAGUAUCCCUAUUAAAGUCGACCUCUAAUUAAGAUGAAGAGCUACUUAUUACAUCCUCACAAUCUUUGACGGAGUGAAUACGUUUCACCAUCAAAACAAAAUCUCCAAAACAUGUUAUACGUGAAAGAAAUUAUAUGGAUCCAUAGAUUCAUCAUUACAAUAUUUUUCUCAUAUUCACUUGUUACUAAAAGGUGUUGGAGUAAUAUUUGUGUUAAUGUUUCAUGAUUUUUCAUCUCAGCGACUAUUAUGGUUAAGAUUGUGGCCAUAAUCUUUUUGUAUAAGUCUUUACUUGUAUACUAAAUACCUGACUGAUAUCCUACUUAUUAGCCGAUAUUCCACCUAUUUAUUAAUUCACUAAUGUCUAAUAAUUAGUCAUUAUAUCAUGAUCACAUGUGUAUACAAUUUCUUACCUAUUAAACUCUUUUAAUCUAUGGAAGAAUCUUUAUGCAUUUAGAAAAAUCCUUUUAAAUGUAGACUUUUAAGCGAAUUAAGACCUCAUUUUAGUGGUGAAAAAAGAAACAAAUUGUUAGAAAGUUCAUUACGUUCAUAAACUUAGGAGGAACUUUAACUUGUGAAGUAAAAAGCUAUUUUAUCAUUUUUAUUGAUGAUCUUUUUUAAUUCACUUAUGUUUCCUUGAUAAAAAAGUGAUGUAUCUAAACAAAAUUAAAACUAUCUCUACUACGAGAUUAAAAAUAAAUUUGAUAGAAAAAUAAAAAGAAAUUAGAAGUUGUAAAGGUCAAGAACAAGAUUGCAACAACCCAAUAACCAGUGACAUGGCGUAAAAGGACAACCCGGUGCACAAAGCAUCCCGCAUUCACGCAUGGUUCGAGGAAGGUCCGCACACCCUUGGGGUGCGAUAUAGGCAACAUAUUGAUGCAAGCAUCAGUGGCUGAUUCCACGGCUCGAACCCGUGACCUAUAAGUCACACGGAGACAACUUAAUUAUUGCUCCAAGCUCCAAGGAUGCUGCAUGUUGUAGAAGAGGAUAAAGGAUUGAAUCCACAAGAGAAGCUUUACUGUGUGUCUCACAAGUUUGUGGAUCUCAAUCUUACACUUCUGGGUCCACAAAACCGUGAGACAAAAAAAAAGCCUCAUACAACUAGUCUAUUUUCCCAUUCUUUCCUUUCAAAGCUGGAGCAAAUGGAUGGCAGCACAGAGAAUGAAUGUUCAACCUUGACAGUAAAACCUAAAGGAUCAUAUCUCAUUUCUGAUGAUUCUAUCAUUAACCACUCCAACAUUUGACUCUUAUUAGGUUCUAUAAUAUUCCUUUCCCAAAGAUGUACCAAGCAAAAGACCACAAAAUGCAAGUUGACUUGUGAGAAGCUGCAUUCAAUAUUUAAUUUUUUGUUAAAGUAAAUAAACAAAGAGCUCCUCAUCUUAACAAGUCAUCUUUUUCUUCAUCAUUAAAAUUUGACGUUGGUUUUACAAAGCAAGCUUCUCAUGGAACUCCAACCCAUAGUCUCCUAUACCUUAUUAACAAAGAGGUUCAGGCCUUGCAAAGAUCAAUAUGAUCAACUUUUAAUAAGGAGCACAACUCUUUCUAAAGAACACACAACAAUAUAAAAGAUUACCUCGCCCCAUGCCCCAUCCCCUUCUUCUUUUGUCUCCUAUCCUCUCUGCAUUCAUAAGCAGCUUCUCAUUUAGCAAUUUUUUCUAAACAAGGCAUCAAUUGAAACGAAUA
Molecule: long non-coding RNA, 9273 nt
Filed under: Nicotiana tabacum (common tobacco)
Lineage: Eukaryota; Viridiplantae; Streptophyta; Magnoliopsida; Solanales; Solanaceae
Description: long non-coding RNA (NTAB_LNC016860)
Source: RNAcentral